CAAUGGUCCCCAUAUGAUCACUGAAGUUAAGCAAUGCUAUGCCUGGUCAGUACCUAGAUGGAUGACCACUUGGGAAUACCAGGUGCUGUAAG
Molecule: non-coding RNA, 92 nt
Organism: Acanthosepion pharaonis
Lineage: Eukaryota; Metazoa; Mollusca; Cephalopoda; Sepiida; Sepiidae
Source: the annotation of a GenBank genome assembly